GAUGAACGCUGACAGAAUGCUUAACACAUGCAAGUCUUUGGCGAAGCUGUGCUUGCACAGCCUAGCCAAGGCGGACGGGUGAGUAACGCGUAAGGAACUUGCCCUGCAGUCAGGGAUAACAGACGGAAACGACUGAUAAGACCUGGUAAAGUCAGGCGGACUCAUGUCCAGCCUGAUGAAAAGAGAUGCUGCAGGAGAGCCUUGCGUCCUAUUAGCUUGUUGGUGGGGUAACGGCCCACCAAGGCGAUGAUAGGUAGCCGGCCGGAGAGGGUGGACGGCCACAAGGGGACUGAGAUACGGCCCUUACUCCUACGGGAGGCAGCAGUGGGGAAUAUUGGACAAUGGGGGCAACCCUGAUCCAGCAAUUCGGUGUGCACGAUGAAGGUUUUCGGAUUGUAAAGUGCUUUCAGCAGGGAAGAAAAAAUGACGGUACCUGCAGAAGAAGCGACGGCUAAAUACGUG
This 462-nucleotide ribosomal RNA is filed under the name uncultured bacterium. Its description in RNAcentral is "partial 16S ribosomal RNA". It matches the Rfam family "Bacterial small subunit ribosomal RNA", at positions 28 to 507 of the family's 1533-position model. The record is from RNAcentral.